This 289-nucleotide ribosomal RNA is filed under the name uncultured bacterium. Its description in RNAcentral is "partial 16S ribosomal RNA". It matches the Rfam family "Bacterial small subunit ribosomal RNA", at positions 773 to 1060 of the family's 1533-position model. The record is from RNAcentral.
GUGGAUUAGAUACCCUAGUAGUCCACGCCGUAAACGAUGAGUGCUAGAUGUCGGAAGAUUUUCUUUCGGUUUCGCAGCUAACGCAUUAAGCACUCCGCCUGGGGACUACGAUCGCAAGAUUAAAACUCAAAGGAAUUGACGGGGGCUCGCACAAGUGGUGGAGCAUGCGGUUUAAUUCGAUGCUACGCGAAAAACCUUACCAACCCUUGACAUGGUGGUCAUAGAUUCCAGAGAUGGAUUCGUCAGUUCGGCUGGACCACACACAGGUGUUGCACGGCUGUCGUCAACU